AUGCAAGUCGAACGAUAGAUAAGGGCUUGCCCUUAUCGAAAGUGGCGCACGGGUGCGUAACGCGUAUGCAACCUACCUUAAUCAGGGGGAUAGCCCGGAGAAAUCCGGAUUAAUACCGCAUAAAAUCACAGGAUUGCAUAAUCCAAUGAUCAAACAUUUAUGGGAUUGAGAUGGGCAUGCGUGUCAUUAGCUAGUGGCGGGGUAACGGCCCACCAAGGCGACGAUGACUAGGGGAUCUGAGAGGAUGGCCCCCCACACUGGUACUGAGACACGGACCAGACUCCUACGGGAGGCAGCAGUAAGGAAUAUUGGUCAAUGGAGGCAACUCUGAACCAGCCAUGCCGCGUGCAGGAAGACUGCCCUAUGGGUUGUAAACUGCUUUUAUCCGGGAAUAAACCUUUCUACGUGUAGGAAGCUGAAUGUACCGGAAGAAUAAGGAUCGGCUAACUCCGUGCCAGCAGCCGCGGUAAUACGGAGGAUCCAAGCGUUAUCCGGAUUUAUUGGGUUUAAAGGGUGCGUAGGCGGCCUGUUAAGUCAGGGGUGAAAGACGGUAGCUCAACUAUCGCAGUGCCCUUGAUACUGAUGGGCUUGAAUGGACUAGAGGUAGGCGGAAUGAGACAAGUAGCGGUGAAAUGCAUAGAUAUGUCUCAGAACACCGAUUGCGAAGGCAGCUUACUAUGGUCUUAUUGACGCUGAGGCACGAAAGCGUGGGGAUCAAACAGGAUUAGAUACCCUGGUAGUCCACGCCCUAAACGAUGAACACUCGCUGUUGGCGAUACACAGUCAGCGGCUAAGCGAAAGCGUUAAGUGUUCCACCUGGGGAGUA
RNAcentral lists this ribosomal RNA (826 nucleotides) under rhizosphere soil bacterium BE-9. Its description in RNAcentral is "bacterial SSU rRNA". It matches the Rfam family "Bacterial small subunit ribosomal RNA", at positions 55 to 882 of the family's 1533-position model. The record is from RNAcentral.